This 107-nucleotide small nuclear RNA is filed under the name Phascolarctos cinereus (koala). The record is from RNAcentral. Lineage: Eukaryota; Metazoa; Chordata; Mammalia; Diprotodontia; Phascolarctidae.
GUACUUGUGUCAGCAAUGCACAUACUAAAACUGGAACGACACAGAGAAAGUUAGCAUGGCCCCGGCAUAAGGAUGACAUGCAAAUUCAUGAAGCAUUCCACAUUUUA